AAGUCGAACGAACUCUGGUAUUGAUUGGUGCUUGCAUCAUGAUUUACAUUUGAGUGAGUGGCGAACUGGUGAGUAACACGUGGGAAACCUGCCCAGAAGCGGGGGAUAACACCUGGAAACAGAUGCUAAUACCGCAUAACAACUUGGACCGCAUGGUCCGAGUUUGAAAGAUGGCUUCGGCUAUCACUUUUGGAUGGUCCCGCGGCGUAUUAGCUAGAUGGUGGGGUAACGGCUCACCAUGGCAAUGAUACGUAGCCGACCUGAGAGGGUAAUCGGCCACAUUGGGACUGAGACACGGCCCAAACUCCUACGGGAGGCAGCAGUAGGGAAUCUUCCACAAUGGACGAAAGUCUGAUGGAGCAACGCCGCGUGAGUGAAGAAGGGUUUCGGCUCGUAAAACUCUGUUGUUAAAGAAGAACAUAUCUGAGAGUAACUGUUCAGGUAUUGACGGUAUUUAACCAGAAAGCCACGGCUAACUACGUGCCAGCAGCCGCGGUAAUACGUAGGUGGCAAGCGUUGUCCGGAUUUAUUGGGCGUAAAGCGAGCGCAGGCGGUUUUUUAAGUCUGAUGUGAAAGCCUUCGGCUCAACCGAAGAAGUGCAUCGGAAACUGGGAAACUUGAGUGCAGAAGAGGACAGUGGAACUCCAUGUGUAGCGGUGAAAUGCGUAGAUAUAUGGAAGAACACCAGUGGCGAAGGCGGCUGUCUGGUCUGUAACUGACGCUGAGGCUCGAAAGUAUGGGUAGCAAACAGGAUUAGAUACCCUGGUAGUCCAUACCGUAAACGAUGAAUGCUAAGUGUUGGAGGGUUUYCGCCCUUYAGUGCYKSAGCYAACGCAUUAAGCAUUCCGCCUGGGGAGUACGGCCGCAAGGCUGAAACUCAAAGGAAUUGACGGGGGCCCGCACAAGCGGUGGAGCAUGUGGUUUAAUUCGAAGCUACGCGAAGAACCUUACCAGGUCUUGACAUACUAUGCAAAUCUAAGAGAUUAGACGUUCCCUUCGGGGACAUGGAUACAGGUGGUGCAUGGUUGUCGUCAGCUCGUGUCGUGAGAUGUUGGGUUAAGUCCCGCAACGAGCGCAACCCUUAUUAUCAGUUGCCAGCAUUAAGUUGGGCACUCUGGUGAGACUGCCGGUGACAAACCGGAGGAAGGUGGGGAUGACGUCAAAUCAUCAUGCCCCUUAUGACCUGGGCUACACACGUGCUACAAUGGAUGGUACAACGAGUUGCGAACUCGCGAGAGUAAGCUAAUCUCUUAAAGCCAUUCUCAGUUCGGAUUGUAGGCUGCAACUCGCCUACAUGAAGUCGGAAUCGCUAGUAAUCGCGGAUCAGCAUGCCGCGGUGAAUACGUUCCCGGGCCUUGUACACACCGCCCGUCACACCAUGAGAGUUUGUAACACCCAAAGUCGGUGGGGUAACCUUUUAGGAACC
This 1426-nucleotide ribosomal RNA is filed under the name Lactiplantibacillus plantarum. RNAcentral's name for it is "bacterial SSU rRNA". The record is from RNAcentral. Lineage: Bacteria; Bacillati; Bacillota; Bacilli; Lactobacillales; Lactobacillaceae.